This 96-nucleotide small RNA is filed under the name Flavobacterium tiangeerense. RNAcentral describes it as "Flavo-1 RNA". It matches the Rfam family "Flavo-1 RNA". Lineage: Bacteria; Pseudomonadati; Bacteroidota; Flavobacteriia; Flavobacteriales; Flavobacteriaceae. The record is from RNAcentral.
UCCUAGCCCUGAUAGCAGUGAAAAUCCUUUUAUAAAGCCGUAAGCCCAUCAAGGCUUACGGCUUAUAAAAGAUUGUAACGAAUAGCAGGAAAUAGC